GACGAACGCUGGCGGCGUGCUUAACACAUGCAAGUCGAACGGAAAGGCCCUGCUUUUGUGGGGUGCUCGAGUGGCGAACGGGUGAGUAACACGUGAGUAACCUGCCCUUGACUUUGGGAUAACUUCAGGAAACUGGGGCUAAUACCGGAUAGGAGCUCCUGCUGCAUGGUGGGGGUUGGAAAGUUUCGGCGGUUGGGGAUGGACUCGCGGCUUAUCAGCUUGUUGGUGGGGUAGUGGCUUACCAAGGCUUUGACGGGUAGCCGGCCUGAGAGGGUGACCGGCCACAUGGGGACUGAGAUACGGCCCAGACUCCUACGGGAGGCAGCAGGGGGGAAUAUUGCACAAUGGGCGGAAGCCUGAUGCAGCAACGCCGCGUGCGGGAUGACGGCCUUCGGGUGGUAAACCGCUUUCGCCUGUGACGAAGCGUGAGUGACGGUAAUGGGUAAAGAAGCACCGGCUAACUACGU
This 467-nucleotide ribosomal RNA is filed under the name uncultured bacterium. RNAcentral describes it as "partial 16S ribosomal RNA". It matches the Rfam family "Bacterial small subunit ribosomal RNA", at positions 28 to 506 of the family's 1533-position model. The record is from RNAcentral.